Molecule: ribosomal RNA, 394 nt
Filed under: uncultured bacterium
Lineage: Bacteria
Description: partial 16S ribosomal RNA
Rfam family: Bacterial small subunit ribosomal RNA
Source: RNAcentral
CCUACGGGAGGCAGCAGUGAGGAAUAUUGGUCAAUGGCCGCGAGCCUGAACCAGCCAAGUCGCGUGAAGGAUGACUGCCCUACGGAUUGUAAACUUCUUUUAUAAAGGAAUAAAGUGAGGCACGUGUGCCUUUUUGUAUGUACUUUAUGAAUAAGCAUCGGCUAACUCCGUGCCAGCAGCCGCGGUAAUACGGAGGAUCCGAGCGUUAUCCGGAUUUAUUGGGUUUAAAGGGAGCGUAGAUGGGUUGUUAAGUCAGGUGUGAAAGUGUGCGGCUCAACCGUAAAAUUGCAAUUGAUACUGGCAGUCUUGAGUACAGUUGAGGUAGGCGGAAUGCGUGGUGUAGCGGUGAAAUGCUUAGAUAUCACGAAGAACUCCGAUUGCGAAGGCAGCUUAC